Long non-coding RNA from Drosophila ficusphila, 459 nucleotides. RefSeq lists it as uncharacterized. Lineage: Eukaryota; Metazoa; Arthropoda; Insecta; Diptera; Drosophilidae. The transcript is spliced from 2 exons. The record is from RefSeq and is a predicted model, not a curated record.
UGCUGAUACAGCACGCCUGCCUUCAGGGAUCGUUGAGGAAAUAACUUUCAGUAGCUUGACGAAGCUGAAAGAGUACAGACGCUUUUAAAAAACACAAAAAACUAAAAUUGAAAUCAAGAUGAGUGACCGACGAUUGGACAACUGGAAUGGAGGCCAGGGCCACCAAUACCAAUACCAGCAGACGACCUAUUCCAACCAAGUGGCUAAUCCGAGUCGGGCAACCUCUAGGCAGAUUCAAGCCAACAAUCGUAGGGCCGUUGUCGAAGUGGAGCAAAUCACUCGUGCGUUGUCCAACAACGCCCCACCCAACAGUGUCACUUACAACUACAUCAACAUCAACCACAGAUAUGCAAAGAAGUAAUAUCUACUCGGAGUGCAACUUGAUGUUCUAUUUUCCUUAACUCGUUUCUAUUUCCAAGUUGCAUUUAAAAUAAAUAAAAAGAAACGAAACUAAAAAUA